Suricata suricatta (meerkat) is the source of this 210-nucleotide long non-coding RNA. RefSeq lists it as uncharacterized. NCBI's taxonomy places the organism in Eukaryota, Metazoa, Chordata, Mammalia, Carnivora, Herpestidae. The record is from RefSeq and is a predicted model, not a curated record. The transcript has 4 exons.
AUUUACUCCAGGGAGACCAGUGUAAUGAAGUGUGGUGCCAUGAAAAUCCAAGUUUGAAGUUAGAGAAAGAAGUCUGGACUAGAAAUACAGAUACACAACCUCAAAGCAAAGAGGAACCUCUCCAAGGACCUAACCAGAAGCAAGCCUGAUAUAACUUUUCAGCAGGAAAAAUCUUCUAAAGGAAGAGAGAAUAAAAGACUAUGAAGUGAA